This 497-nucleotide ribosomal RNA is filed under the name uncultured bacterium. RNAcentral describes it as "partial 16S ribosomal RNA". It matches the Rfam family "Bacterial small subunit ribosomal RNA", at positions 28 to 507 of the family's 1533-position model. The record is from RNAcentral.
GAUGAACGCUGGCGGCGUGCCUAAUACAUGCAAGUCGAGCGAACGGACGCGAAGCUUGCUUCUCUGAUGUUAGCGGCGGACGGGUGUGUAACACGUGGAUAACCUCCCUAUAAGUCUGGGAUCACUUCGGGAAGCCGUAGCUAAUACCGGAUAAUAUUUUGAACCGCAUGGUUCAAAAGUGAAAGACGGUCUUGCUGUCACUUAUAGAUGGAUCCGCGCUGCAUUAGAUAGUUGGUAAGGUAACAGCUUACCAAGGCUACGAGGCAUAGCCGACCUGAUAGGGUGAUCGGCCACACUGGAACUGAGACACGGUCCAUACGCCUACGGGAGGCAGCAGUAGGGAAUCUGCCGCAAUGGGCGAAAGCCUUACGGAGCAACGCGGCGUGAGUGAUGAAGGUCUUCGGAUCGUAAAACUCUGUUAUUAGGGAAGAACAGAUGUCUAAGUAACUGUGGAGAUCUUGACGGUAAUUAAUCAGAAAGCCACGGCUAACUACGUG